GGGGGCGGUGCGCAUCUUCCGCGUGGACGGCUCGGUCCUCAGCCUGACCGCCCCCCGGCCACAGCGGGCCCGGAGGGGUGGCUCUGGGGAGGGUAAGGCUCGUAGCGGGCGAGUGGCGGAGGGGAAGUGAUUCGUUUCCCUGAGAGAUGAGUGAAAAGGUCCUAAUGCUACCGUGGAACCAUCCCAUCUGCCCCAGUCUGCAUCCUUCCAGUGAGGCAUCCAGAGGAACCAACUGCACUUCCAACUGACCAGAGGAGACCAGGAGACCUGAGUUUAUGUCCCACAGGACUUAUACAGUGUGUGAGGGCUGAUCUCACAUUGCAUACACUUUUAGGACACUUAACAGGGUGUGUCUUUAUACACUCUCCUCAUGGAUUAGUCUGUAGGAAUGCAGUAUCUUUGACUCACUUUCCUACUCAGGUUUCAUUGAAACUGGCCACCAGAUUCCAUGCUCCUUGGAAGGAUUGGCAGUUGCUAGACAAGCAGGCAGAUGUACACAUUCAGACAGCAUAAAAAAUAUUUACUUAAGCUUCCUUUUCUAAGAAAACCUUUCUAAAAAGGUAGAACUGAGAAGAUGUUUGUCCAAUGCAAUCCUAAUCCUUUUCCUUGGAGAAGGUAUCCUUUCCAGGUUCCUCCACCUUACUUUUUUUCUUGACCAUGUUGUGACCUCUGAUUUUAUCCUUUUCUUCCUCUGAGACAAAAGUAGCAUUUUUAAUCAGAACCACUUAAGCUUGUGAGAUUGCCUUAUUUGCAUUUCCUUUCUCACCUCACCCUUCCUCUUCACACCUUCCUACAUUUCCUAGUGUACUUUCUGGGAACCUUUUUUCUGUCUAAACUCAGAUAAGUCCAUGUUUUUUUUGUUGUCAAUGUAUUAUAUCAUGCUAAUCUAAAAAAUGGCUGUGUUCUGUUUUCUUUAGGUUUUGCCAUAAAAGGGAACCUCACUGAAAAGAGCAGUAUAAGACCUUUCUUGGUGGUCCACAUGACUAUUCAUUUCUUCCUGCAAAUUACUGGUUUUGAAAUCUCUUCCAUUAUACUACAAGCACUUCUACUGGAGUGGCAUCUACCCUUCAAACUGAAGUUACUUUUCUAAGGCCUAGGAUAUGAAUGAACAUAUCCUUUCUGACUUUAGGAUCUCAACACAAUGUGAUGUCUCAUAGACCCUUUUAUCUCUACUAAUUGUUAAAUAUUUAAAAAGGAGUAGCAUAUGGUUGGUUACAUUAAGCUUGGAACCACAACAGAAUCCUUAAAUGGAACAAACUCUUGUGCAUUCUGAUGGCACUUUUUCUUUCUCUUGUGGAACAGAAAUUAAAAUGGCUUUUGAGCACAUGCACAAACAAUAAUUUUAUACUUAGCCUGAUGUCUCCCUUUAAUCUAUUUAUCUCAGUUGUGGUUUUCUCAAAACCAGUUCCAUGAAUCUCACUGAAGAGCCUCUUGGAGUCUAUUAAUACUUACGCUGGCACACACAGAAAAGAUGUCUACUACUUCUUCAGGUCACAGACAAGUGCCUGUUUUGUAUGUUGCUGAGAUUUCUUUUCCCUUCUUAUUUUAGCUAAAGGACAACUCAGUGGUUGCUCUGGCAGUCUCUAAAUCCAUAUUGCUUGUUCAAGGUGAAUUCAGUUAAUGGGCUUUGACUCAGAGAUCCCUCCUGUUCCCCUUUGGACAGAUAGUCCCAGAAACAACUUGACUUCACCAGUCUUGUGCUUUGCCUGAGGGAGCAGUUUACGUCAGGAAUGGAAAUUUAUAUCAGCUUGAAAUUUUUGAAAUCGCAUUUGAAACAGUACAUUCUUGAAACAGCAGGAAAAGCAGGGGCAUGGGUUGACAAGGAUGGGAGUUAGAGGGGGUUGGUGCAACCUCUUUCAAGUGCCUAGCACUAUGGAUUUACAUGAAGAUCAAUCUCUUCUUAGCGUACUGGAGUCUGGAGGGGUGCUCAGAGCACCUAAAUGAAACUUUAGUUGUGACUUGUCCCUGGGAGGGUCUCUCCCUCACAACAGUUAGUUGUGCAGAGAUUGUGUGGAGACUGUGGAAGGACUAUAUGAAGAUAAACUACCUGAUCUAGGAUCUGACACAUGAUCAUCCUCCUCCAAUGUUCACUUUGUCAAUGCAGUUUUACACAUAGAGAAGCCACUUGCCAGCACCUCUCUAGGAGUGAUUCGGAUGUAUGCUUGCCAACUGGAGAUAUUUGUAUUUCAGUGAAGUUACAGCUCCUGGUACAAAAUGUGAAAGCAUGUGUUAUUCUCAUGACCUGAUACUGCAAACUCGUGACAAUAGAUUAAUGUUAGUGUUAUUUAAUUCACAUGCAUUAGCAUAGGCAAUGCCAUCAACCUGCUACCUGCACUGUAGUUUCCAGUAUAGUGAUUCAGCUAUGCCAGUCCUGCAUGUUUGAUGUUUGCUUGCUUUGUGCAUUUUGCAAAUGCAGACCUGUGCAUGAGAAACAAAAUGAUAUGUUUGAAACUUACUGAAAUUGAGCCAGAGCUAUUGCUUCUUCCCUCCAGGUUCUGAAAUGUCUACUUUUCUGGUUAUAAGUUCCUCCUUUCCUUUGGAAGGGUUGAGCAGUUGAGUGUGAAAUGUGUCUGCAGAAGAAUUUUUGUAUUUCAUAUAUACAUUCUGAGUUUAACAAUUUUAAGAAAUCAGUGGCUUUAUUCUGCCUCAUGCAAAGUUCUCAAAAUUAGAGUGCUUAACCUGUAGAUAUCAAAAACAUACCUGAAUACAUCAGAAGGCAUAUAUUUUUGUAUCUAAGAUGUAGUCUUUGAUGAUCUUAUGCAUAAAUAAUUAUGAUGUGAGAUUCUUAGAUAGUACUGCAAAGCAAAAAGCACAUAAAGGCCGGGACUGAGCAAAUUUUGAUGCACAGAGAGAACAAAUCAUCUGGCAUCUCUGGAAAAGCCUCCUUGCCCAGAGCUUCCUUUGCUCCUCUCAUUAGUACACUAUUUCACUGGCCUAGAAAGUGUGAGUCUAGAUAUUGUUUCAUACCAUAUGGCGACACCGAGAGCUCUUUUGCACAGCACUAAGAAAAGCUAUGGUUAAAAAUGUCUGCCUUAAGAUCAGUUAAAACAGUUUUGGUUCACACAACCUGAUAGCACUGACAAAGGAUAUACAUUUGUUAAUCUAACAGUAAUUUUAAAUACUCAAUAGGUUUUACAGCUUGUUGAAGUUGGGGAAAUUUUGCAGAGCAAGCCAUUGGAAACUGAAGGGGAGAUAAGGAGAGACUAGUGGGUGGAAGCUGUCUGAUUUUGUUUUCUGGCAUGAAGAAUACCAGAGGGAAUUCUCUUUCCCAGACUACCACCCCCCUUUUUUCUUAUUUACACAUCAAUGCAUGAUUUUUUGGUGUCUAACAUUUCCAUAAUGCAAUCUGGUAAACCUAGCACAGCUGUUUUGAAAACCUGCCUCAUAUUUAAGAUUACUUUACUGUGUGCAAUCUUGUAUUUCACUUGCUAGUCAUGUUAUUUCUGGAUGUCAAGAUAGGCAAUGGCUAUAAAUAUGGAGGUAUGUUUCACAGUCACUAAGAUUUACUAUGCAGUGGUUUGCAAUAACCUCCAUUUUGCCUUUUGUCUGCAUUCUGUAUUCCAUGAGGCAAAAUUUAUCAUUAUUGAUAAACAUUGUCAUUAUUUUUGGAUAGUAUCAUAUGACGCGACAAAGCAACUUUCUCAUUUGCAAUCAAGUAUCAGGGGAACAAAACAAAACAAAUAAGCAAACCUGAAGCUCUUGAUCUCCAUGGAAUGUUAUUAAAAAUGCUUAUGUAAAGCUGUUUCGCAGUCAUCAGAGACAUGCAAUAUCAAUCCUGAAAUGUUGGUGCUGGCAGAAGUGAAAUCACAGCAUGUUUUCCGCAGUAUCCCACUUGAUGCACAACCUGUCUUUCCAAAUAUGUAGCUUCAUACUGGCACAGAGGAUAUCUUUGCCAGUAUUCUUCUAUCUUUCAUCAUAGGUUGUUAGACACACACUAGUCAUGCUAAUUUAGCUAAUCAAACUUGCUUUAUUUUUAUCCCCUUCUACUCCUUUUAUGCUAAAUUAUUUCAGCUGUUUAAAAAUCACAAGAGGCUCCCUUCAGCUGUUUUGUUUGGCAGAGUUUUCUUAAUCAAUUAUAAAUUUUUAAUUUUCAUGAGAUGGUUGUGGUGGGCAGGGUAAACAUGGCAUUUGUGAUCUUUAUUUUAUAUACUAUAGAGCAGGCCUACAAUGUUUCUCAGUCACUGCAUUUAGCUUUAGCUUUUACCUUCAGUUCUUGUGCCUACCCUUUAUAUUUCAGCUUCCCAUUUACAAAUGUUAUAGAGUUAUUAUUAUUAUUUUACAUAAAAUUUCUUCAGCUGUGUUAUCCUGUUUUAGUUUAGGACUGGAGGUCCAGAAACAAUAUACUGUUGUAGGGUCACUGGCUCUCACCUAUGGCAUUCCUUCUGUGGUUACAGUUUACUGUAAAAACACUCUGAUUUUUUAAAAAUGACUCUUUUUAAAAUUCCUGCUACAAAUCCUGAAGCAUUACUCACCCCUUUGAUGGUUAUAAAUCCACUUUUACAUUGUGCUUUAAAAUUUUCCACACCUUGCUGAAAUAUAUAUAUAUAUAUAUAUAUUAGGUGGAGAACUGUCCACUAAUUUAAAACCAUGUUUAUCACUCUUCCUCCCUUUCCUUCUACUGACCCAAUUUAUUUAUAGAAAAUAACUUAAUCCUCUCUUAGUCUUUCUCUUUGUAAGUUAAAUUAGACCAUUUCUUGUAUUAUUUUUCUUAAUACCUCAAUCUCUCCAUUCACCAGAUCAACCUGCUGGUCCUGGUCUGUACAGUAUCAGUUAAAAUUCAUCUUGCUUGUGCAGGAGGAACCAGAAUUGUGACAGUACUAUGGAAAAGGACUCAUUGGUGUCAUGUACAACAAAACUAAUAUUUACCUUUCUCUAUACAAGAAAUGCUGAGUUGAUAUAGGACCACACUUACUUCUUUAUGGUUAUAUUGCACUAACAUUACUGUUAUCCUCUGACUGAGGUGGACACAAUUCCCUCUAUUUGCUUGUCAGUUUGAUCACACCUGGAAAAGUGGAGAGUGCAUGAUCUUGUACUUCAUACUCUAAAAUUUCAACCCAUGCCUAUUACUCUAGCUUUCAAGGUCAUGCUACUCACUGUGGUAUUCCCAGUUUUCCUGUUCUACACAAAAUACUCUCUCGAUUUGCAACAUCGGCAUAUUUCAGAGACAUUUUACCACUUCACAAUAUAAAUUAGUGUUGGAUAUCUGCUCCCUCGUCUUCUCUGAAUUACUGUCUUGCCUAAAUUAGAGAAAGGAAUUAGCUGACUUUUGAAAGUCAAAAGUGCUAGUGGCUCUAAUUCUGCAGUCAUUUGAUGGCAAGGCUCGUUGACUGACACUCCUUGGCCAUGGGUCUCUUCAUAAGUGCAAGAAUUCACUAUUGCUAACCCAAGUAGCAAAUUGGUGCUAGAGGGGAGUAGAUUGCAUAUUGUAGGAAAAGAUAUCUGAUAGUAAAGGAAGGAUUGUGUUUGACUGUAGGUUGGAAAUGGAGCUCAGCACACUGUCAUUGCAACUUGAAAGCUAGUUUAUUGCUUGGGGUUAAUCCUGCCAGUGUUCUGAAGGAUGUCGGAACUGAAAGGGCAAAGAGACUUAAUAAGUGUAAUCAGCUAUAGAAGCGAAGAGUAGAACUCGUUUUUCCAAAGUGAUGAUUAUAAACCACUCAAUUAAGUAAACAAAGAAGUGGUUGAAACACCACCACUGACAAACAUCAGAUAAUAGAAUUAAUUAUAAACAGCAGCCAAAAUGCAGCAAAGAUGAACUAAUCAAAAUACUUAAUUAGUCUUUGAAGUAGCUACUUUCCUCCCUACCACUAUUUAUUACAAUUUUAUCUGGAGGUUGGUGUCUUUGGUAAGGCUCCAAAGUGUUAAUAACUAGUUUAAAAGCCUUAUGCUCCUACAAAAUAAUAAUGUUUUGAAACACAGUACAGUUCAGGCUGAAGCAGCAUGCUAAGUGAGGAUCACCUUGCCUUAAAUGGAUAGAUUAGAAGGCUGGUAUUACCUCUGUCUGCUCUGUAUUUAUUGUGGUGUUUAAGGAUUUUGAUUAUCCAUUCAUUUUUUAUCAGACUGUAGUCAUAGUUAACUCUUCCAAAGAAUACAGGUUAAUUGUCAUGGAGAUUAGGAGUACGAAGAAUCUGUAUCUAUAAAAACAAAUCCAUGGAUAGGAACAAAACUAAGGAUGUCAGUGAUAAUUUAGAAAUAAGGUCUCAAGUAUAAUCUAUGCAUAUGUUGCUGUCAUUUGAGGUAAAAACAAACAAACAAACAAACAAACAAACAAACACCAAACACUCAUACUGUUGUACUUAGGCAUGUAAGGAGCAGCUGUCCCAUGAUUUUUGAUUCAUGCUGUAGUUUCAAGGCCAAACAUGAUAAAGAGUAAUACAACUGCAGACUGGCCAUAUCAGUCACAACACAGAGAAUUUUCUUCUUCUUUCUUUUUUCUUUCUUUCUUUUUUUUUUUUUUUAAAGGUUUUUGGAAGAAGACAAAUUCCAUCCACUCAUUUUUUACCAGUGAAUUUCAAGGUGAUUCAAAGAUUUUUUUGUCCAAGUCUAUGAAAACAGGAACAUACAAUCUGUGCUUUUGGUGUCUCUCCACUCUCUUGUCUCAAAAGAAAUUAAAUGUAAUGGAAACACAUGUAGUACAACCAAUGCUUGUUUCAUGAGGUGGAUAAAGGUGUAUGGAUAAUACAUUAACACAGAAACAGAUUUCUGCUUUUUUAUUAUUUUUCUAGAAACAAACACUUAAAACUGUUAUCCUUCCUGUUACGAGCAAAAUAUUUUAUAUGCUCAUUUUUCACUGGUAUUCUUGGACAUUUUGAAUUAAUGUUAACAUAAAAAAUAAAAGUAAAGUGAAACAGGCUCUUCCUGUUGUCUGCAGAGAACAAAAUCCAUUCUGCUCUUCAAUCUUAGAGCUUCAAUCUAGUGUGUUGAAAGCUAUUUGGGCUCUUCUGUUUGUUCCAGCAGGGUUAAUGUUCUUCUAUAAUGACUACACAAGGAGGAACCCUUCAAGAGCAAGGACUGUUCCUUCCCAAGGGAAACUUCAAUAACCUCUCACUGGAGUAUGUGCCAGAGGUCACUGAGUAUGGGUAACAGAAUAAGAAGGGAGACAUUUCCAUCAUGAUGCUGAUGAUUCAAGAAGAGGUUGAGAAACUGCUGGGAAGACUGGAAAGCAGAAAUGUUGUGGAAAGCAAGGGAUAGAAGUAAGAGUGGUGAAGGAGCAGUAGAAUAAGCUAGCCAACAUCUGCCACUGCUCACUGAGUUUUGGGCUUGAUUGAGACCUAGAAACCAGAAGAGCAGAGUAUAAGAGAGGUGAUUAAAUCUUUUUGAUUUGUUCUGUCUUCCCUUGUAAUGUAACAACUUUCUCCAUAUAAAAGUUCAUAAUUGUUGUUCAAGUUCAA
Molecule: non-coding RNA, 7388 nt
Organism: Coturnix japonica (Japanese quail)
Lineage: Eukaryota; Metazoa; Chordata; Aves; Galliformes; Phasianidae
Source: RefSeq, a predicted model, not a curated record